Molecule: ribosomal RNA, 480 nt
Filed under: uncultured bacterium
Lineage: Bacteria
Description: bacterial SSU rRNA
Rfam family: Bacterial small subunit ribosomal RNA
Source: RNAcentral
UUGAACGCUGGCGGUAUGCUUUACACAUGCAAGUCGAACGGGCUAUGGGGCUUGCUCCAUAGUUAGUGGCGAACUGGUGAGUAAUGCAUCGGAACGUACCCAGUCGUGGGGGAUAACUACGCGAAAGCGUGGCUAAUACCGCAUACGCCCUGAGGGGGAAAGCGGGGGACCUUCGGGCCUCGCGCGAUUGGAGCGGCUGAUGUCGGAUUAGCUAGUUGGUGGGGUAAAGGCCUACCAAGGCGACGAUCCGUAGCUGGUCUGGGAGGAUGAUCAGCCACACUGGGACUGAGACACGGCCCAGACUCCUACGGGAGGCAGCAGUGGGGAAUUUUGGACAAUGGGCGCAAGCCUGAUCCAGCCAUGCCGCGUGAGUGAAGAGGGCCUUCGGGUUGUAAAGCUCUUUCAGACGGAAAGAAAUCGGGCGCGUGAAUAGCGUGCCUGGAUGACGGUACUGUCAGAAGAAGCACCGGCUAACUACGU